This 1246-nucleotide long non-coding RNA is filed under the name Homo sapiens (human). Lineage: Eukaryota; Metazoa; Chordata; Mammalia; Primates; Hominidae. The record is from RNAcentral.
CUCCAACCGUGCAGCCCGCCCCUGACGCCGCCGGUAACUGCGACAGUCGGGGUCGGUGCGGUUUGCUAAGUGGUCGGUUCCUGGAGCUGCGGUCUUCUGCUAGCCUGAUCCGCAGCUUCAGCCUCCGCCGCCUCCUCAGCCCUCGGCGCCGCCGCCUGACCCGCAGGCCGCCGCGGGCCGCAGAGCCCAUGAGGGCGCGGGCACCGCCGCCGCCUCCGCGGCGUCGCCGUCGUCCCGGAGCGCCCCGAGCUGGCGCGGGCAUGGCCGCGGCAUGAGCGUGGAGCCGCCGCCGGAGCUGGAGGAGAAGGCGGCGUCGGAGCCCGAGGCGGGAGCCAUGCCGGAGAAGCGCGCGGGCGCGCAGGCCGCGGGGAGCACCUGGCUACAAGGCUUUGGCCCACCAAGUGUGUACCAUGCUGCUAUUGUCAUCUUCCUUGAAUUCUUUGCGUGGGGCCUUUUGACAACUCCAAUGUUGACUGUUCUACAUGAAACAUUUUCUCAACACACAUUCCUCAUGAAUGGUCUCAUUCAAGGUGUAAAGGGCCUGCUCUCUUUUUUGAGUGCCCCACUCAUUGGUGCCCUGUCUGAUGUGUGGGGGAGGAAGCCCUUUCUCCUCGGCACUGUAUUCUUUACCUGCUUCCCAAUCCCACUGAUGAGGAUCAGCCCAUGUUUAUGCAAAUACCGUAUACGUGAUAAACGUCCCUACAACAUGAUCUUUGGAAUGAACUAAGACAAAGGAAACUCUGAGGAAGGACCAUGGCCUGAGAGGUGGAAUUCAUCCUUCCGAGGACUGAGAUGAGGACGGAAAAUGAACCAUCGGGGGGAUUGACGGUGAAGAUGCUAAUACCUGCCCAGCAUCGACCCUAGUGCGGGUCCCAAGACCAUCCCCCUGUGCAGGCUCCACCACCGCUGUGCUAACUGGACCGCGGCAGAAGAGUGGAAGUUUUCAUGGGCUGAGCUGCUGAGUUCAGCCUGGGAACUGAGGCCAACAAGGGAGUCUCCUCGGCACACAAGUUUGAAAGAAGUCCUGGUGACUUCAAGCUCAGAACCAUGGACGGCAGGGCUCCCUCUGGAUGUGGAAUUCUCCGUCCCUUUCCAGGGAGGGAACAAAGCCCACAGCACCGGAACUGGCCAGUCAUGGUGGCUUAUGCCUGUAAUCCCAGGACUUUGGGAGGCCGAGGCUGGAGGAUCACUUGAGCCAAGGAGUUUUAAGACCAGCGUGGGCAACAUGGCAAAACCCCAUCUCUAC